Molecule: ribosomal RNA, 460 nt
Filed under: uncultured bacterium
Lineage: Bacteria
Description: partial 16S ribosomal RNA
Rfam family: Bacterial small subunit ribosomal RNA
Source: RNAcentral
CCUACGGGAGGCAGCAGUGAGGAAUAUUGGUCAAUGGGCGCGAGCCUGAACCAGCCAAGUAGCGUGAAGGAUGACUGCCCUACGGGUUGUAAACUUCUUUUAUAAAGGAAUAAAGUGAGGCACGUGUGCCUUAUUGUAUGUACUUUAUGAAUAAGGAUCGGCUAACUCCGUGCCAGCAGCCGCGGUAAUACGGAGGAUCCGAGCGUUAUCCGGAUUUAUUGGGUUUAAAGGGAGCGUAGAUGGGUUGUUAAGUCAGUUGUGAAAGUUUGCGGCUCAACCGUAAAAUUGCAAUUGAUACUGGCAGUCUUGAGUACAGUUGAGGUAGGCGGAAUUCGUGGUGUAGCGGUGAAAUGCUUAGAUAUCACGAAGAACUCUGAUUGCGGAGGCAGCUUACUAAACUGCCACUGACAUUGAUGCUCGAAAGUGUGGGUAUCAAACAGGAUUAGAUACCCCAGUAGUC